This 433-nucleotide ribosomal RNA is filed under the name uncultured bacterium. RNAcentral describes it as "partial 16S ribosomal RNA". It matches the Rfam family "Bacterial small subunit ribosomal RNA", at positions 38 to 507 of the family's 1533-position model. The record is from RNAcentral.
GGGGGGGGGGGGGGGGGGGGCGGGCGGAGGGGGGGCGAGCGAGACGGGCGGGUCUGGUGGGGCACGGGGGCGGAAGGCGGGGGAACCUGCCCUUAGGUGCGGGAUAACUCCCCGAAAGGGGGGCUAAUACCGGAGAAUGUCUUCGGACCAAAGAUUUCUCGCCUUUGGAUGGGCCCGCGUUGGAUUAGCUAGUGGGUAGAGUAAACGCCUACCAAGGCGACGAUCCAUAGCUGGUCUGAGAGGAUGAUCAGCCACACUGGGACUGAGACACGGCCCAGACUCCUACGGGAGGCAGCAGUGGGGAAUAUUGGACAAUGGGCGAAAGCCUGAUCCAGCAAUGCCGCGUGAGUGAUGAAGGCCUUAGGGUUGUAAAGCUCUUUUACCCGGGAUGAUAAUGACAGUACCGGGAGAAUAAGCUCCGGCUAACUCCGUG